This is a long non-coding RNA of Lactuca sativa (garden lettuce), 903 nucleotides long. RefSeq lists it as uncharacterized. NCBI's taxonomy places the organism in Eukaryota, Viridiplantae, Streptophyta, Magnoliopsida, Asterales, Asteraceae. The record is from RefSeq and is a predicted model, not a curated record.
AUCAUUUCUUGCUAGGGUUCGUUCCUUCUUUUCUCAUUCCAUCUCAUACUACCAACAAAAUGCUCUCUCAGACUCAAGAACUAAAACAAUGAAAUGCCUGCAUCUUUUCUUCGAAUCACACUGGUACGCCGUUGCCUUCCAAGCUUGUUGUCUCAUUCUCGACUCAAAUCGGUGCUAAUUUGCUUCGGACAUCCGCUCCUUCUCCUCUAGCGCCAUCAGCUCCUCCAGAAUCCCUCAUACACCAACCAUCUUAAUCUGCGAAUGUUCAUUCUCAUCCUCACCGAUCUGUAAAUCCUCUGCACCAUCACCGCUCUCACUACCUCUAACAACCCACCAUCGAAACUCUAACCCUAUAUCGACUCGAUCUAACCGCGACACUCACCGACACUUUCAUCUCCGCUACUCUCAUCAAAAUUAGCGAAAAUCCUACACUUACAUUGACUGUUGAUGGAGGAGUUGUUAAGGUGAAUGAAGUCAAAAGUAGAGGUGGGUGGGAGGUCAAACUUUGGGCGUGAACGUGACAAUUUUCGAAGAUAUAGUAAUGACAGAGAUGUAGAGGUGGAUAAGGGUAGAGAUAGAGAUAGAAACUAUGGUCGUUUCAGAAAGAGGUUUAUCGAAUGGAAGAGCUUGUAGGAGAGAAAGGUGAUCAUGUAUCUAAGCUGCAGGAAAAGUCACAGUUGAUGAAGCUCUUGCAACCGAUGUUAGUCAAACACCCCAAGAAAGUCCAAAAACGAGGGAACUUUUCAAUGAAGAUUUCGAGUCCGAGAGUGAGGAGCAAGUGUUAGAGAGAAGAUGAAUAUGAGUCGGAUGAGGCUCAAAUAAUGGAAGUAUGUGGAGAAUAUUAAAAGAAAAAUGUUGUACUUGCUAAACUUAUUAUUAAAUUUUUAUAGACUUGUUGGAUGA